CCUACGGGAGGCAGCAGUGAGGAAUAUUGGUCAAUGGACGAGAGUCUGAACCAGCCAAGUAGCGUGAAGGAUGACUGCCCUAUGGGUUGUAAACUUCUUUUAUAUGGGAAUAAAAUGUUCCACGUGUGGGAUUUUGUAUGUACCAUAUGAAUAAGGAUCGGCUAACUCCGUGCCAGCAGCCGCGGUAAUACGGAGGAUCCGAGCGUUAUCCGGAUUUAUUGGGUUUAAAGGGAGCGUAGGUGGAUUGUUAAGUCAGUUGUGAAAGGUUGCGGCUCAACCGUAAAAUUGCAGUUGAAACUGGCAGUCUUGAGUACGGGAGAGGUAGGCGGAAUGCGUGGUGUAGCGGUGAAAUGCUUAGAUAUCACGAAGAACUCCGAUUGCGAAGGCAGCUCACUGGACUGCAACUGACACUGAGGCUCGAAAGUGUGGGUAUCAAACAGGAUUAGAUACCCUUGUAGUC
RNAcentral lists this ribosomal RNA (460 nucleotides) under uncultured bacterium. RNAcentral's name for it is "partial 16S ribosomal RNA". It matches the Rfam family "Bacterial small subunit ribosomal RNA", at positions 338 to 795 of the family's 1533-position model. The record is from RNAcentral.